CAUAAUUUACUGAAAAGAGUUUUUAAAAGAAUCGAUUGGCAAAUCGAUUGGCUUAUGUAGUUUCAAGAUUCAAGAAAAACAAGACUCGCGAUAAUCGAUUGGCAAAUCGAUUAGACCUGUUUUAUAACUUUAAUGAAUCGAUUGGUAAAUCGAUUGAUUAGUUGUUUUUCAGAAACUAUAUAAACUAUUUUCAAUCAUUC
This 200-nucleotide long non-coding RNA is filed under the name Cicer arietinum (chickpea). RNAcentral's name for it is "long non-coding RNA (CARI_LNC003623)". The record is from RNAcentral. Lineage: Eukaryota; Viridiplantae; Streptophyta; Magnoliopsida; Fabales; Fabaceae.